Triticum dicoccoides is the source of this 1333-nucleotide long non-coding RNA. RefSeq lists it as uncharacterized. NCBI's taxonomy places the organism in Eukaryota, Viridiplantae, Streptophyta, Magnoliopsida, Poales, Poaceae. The transcript has 2 exons. The record is from RefSeq and is a predicted model, not a curated record.
UCCUGCUCCUCCGCCGCCCCCGUCCGCCGCCCCCCUCCUCCUCUGCUGCCUCCGUCCGCCGACCUAGGCGACCCCCAUCGCUGUCGAUGGCGCCCGGUGCGGCGAGGUCGACGCCGCCUCCCUCUCCCGCACCAGACCCCACGGAGGGAAGGGAGCCUCCUUCAUCGUGCUGCGAGCGUGGCGACGACAAGCACUAGAGGGAGCCGUGCUUUUUGCCUCCUCUGCCGUCUCAGGGUCGUCGUGCCACCACCAGGCUGUGGCGCUCCUACUCUCCGCCGCCCUCUACGCUGACGAGCAAGGGCGGGAUCCCCAUCACGGCAUCCUCCACUCCGAUGGCAGGAGCGGUGCUCCUCACUGUGCUGGUACACCAUGCUGCUCAGAUCCGUCACGGUGGACUCGAUACAGGUGUGCAUUUCCUUACCAAAGGUGCGCACCUCUAUUUUUCUGCUCUAUUGGGAAGCUUACACCGAGCACACUACACGUGUAUCCUCCUCUUUCCUGUAGCCUUCCUCCAGAUGUUUUUGGUGUCUUACGAUUUUGUUGGCUGCUCAGAUGGGACGAGGCUGUUAGACUUUUUGGUAUGAGUGAGUUCCCCUAACUUGUUUGGUCGAUUUUUUGUUACUGCUACCCCAGAUAGCCAGCGACCAUGGCCUCUGGACUUUAGUCUGUUCGUGAGCCUGGAGAGCUGACACUUCUCUUUUUUGUGCCUACCUUUGGCCACAUUGUUUCUUAGCAUACAUUCAUAAUCUAACAUUAUAUGUAUGAUUUUCUGUUUUGCCUCUGCAGGGCAAGAAGGAAGUAGAAUGAGGCGCACUCUUAGGAAUCCUCUGUCCUAAGAAAGAACAUGGAAAGCGCACUCUUGGGAAAAAGAAGGAAACUACAAUCUAGCAAAUGAAUAAAGAAACAGAAGCUUGCUCACAAAAUUUCGCAUAAGUGGUUGGCAUCAUCACUAGAAGAUCUUCAUAGUAAUAACACAAUCAAGUGAGGGGAGGUUUCUGAUCUUCAGAGCAUUGCAAGUUUGGUUACUCUUCUGCUGGAGACAUGUGGCCCUCUUCGAGUAAUGCAGAUUCACAGGAUAGUGCUGAGUCUGGUAUUCAAAAGACAUCCCAUGAAUAUGGUAAUGUACUAAUGUCAUCCAACAAACGGCUGAGCAGAAAAUGUGAUAAUGCCAUUGUCUUAUUGGACAUGGUUGUAGCCAUGAGUCAAGCUCAAACAGUUGGUGUAACUUAGUUGUAAAUUAUGUUUAUUGAUGUGGUUGGAUGCUACUGAACAAAUGUAUGUAUGUUGAAAUGUUGAAAUUUUAGUAUGAAAGUGUUUGAGGUCUGCUAUUGAA